GGAAUUCGAUUACCGCGAAGAACCUUACCAAGGCUUGACAUACACCGGAAACUUCCAGAGAUGGUUGCCCCGCAAGGUCGGUGUACAGGUGGUGCAUGGUUGUCGUCAGCUCGUGUCGUGAGAUGUUGGGUUAAGUCCCGCAACGAGCGCAACCCUCGUCCUAUGUUGCCAGCGGGUCAUGCCGGGGACUCAUAGGAGACUGCCGGGGUCAACUCGGAGGAAGGUGGGGAUGACGUCAAAUCAUCAUGUCCCUUAUGUCUUGGGCUUCACGCAUGCUACAAUGGCCGGUACAAAGGGCUGCGAUACCGCGAGGUGGAGCGAAUCCCAAAAAGCCGGUCUCAGUUCGGAUUGGGGUCUGCAACUCGACCCCAUGAAGUCGGAGUCGCUAGUAAUCGCAGAUCAGCAACGCUGCGGUGAAUACGUUCCCGGGCCUUGUACACACCG
This 444-nucleotide ribosomal RNA is filed under the name Cellulomonas sp. P7. RNAcentral's name for it is "bacterial SSU rRNA". It matches the Rfam family "Bacterial small subunit ribosomal RNA", at positions 946 to 1392 of the family's 1533-position model. Lineage: Bacteria; Bacillati; Actinomycetota; Actinomycetes; Micrococcales; Cellulomonadaceae. The record is from RNAcentral.